This 430-nucleotide ribosomal RNA is filed under the name Pseudomonadota bacterium. RNAcentral's name for it is "Proteobacteria bacterium partial 16S ribosomal RNA". It matches the Rfam family "Bacterial small subunit ribosomal RNA", at positions 355 to 776 of the family's 1533-position model. Lineage: Bacteria; Pseudomonadati; Pseudomonadota. The record is from RNAcentral.
UGGGGAAUAUUGGACAAUGGGGGGAACCCUGAUCCAGCCAUGCCGCGUGUGUGAAGAAGGCCUUAUGGUUGUAAAGCACUUUAAGCGAGGAGGAGGGUACUGGUAUUAAUACUACCAGGUACUGGACGUUACUCGCAGAAUAAGCACCGGCUAACUCUGUGCCAGCAGCCGCGGUAAUACAGAGGGUGCGAGCGUUAAUCGGAUUUACUGGGCGUAAAGCGUGCGUAGGCGGCUAAUUGAGUCGGAUGUGAAAUCCCCGAGCUUAACUUGGGAAUUGCAUUCGAUACUGGUUAGGUAGAGUGUGGGAGAGGAUGGUAGAAUUCCAGGUGUAGCGGUGAAAUGCGUAGAGAUCUGGAGGAAUACCGAUGGCGAAGGCAGCCAUCUGGCCUAACACUGACGCUGAGGUACGAAAGCAUGGGGAGCAAACAGG